UACGUAGGGUGCAAGCGUUGUCCGGAAUUAUUGGGCGUAAAGGGCUCGUAGGCGGCCAACUAAGUCAGACGUGAAAUCCCUCGGCUUAACCGGGGAACUGCGUCUGAUACUGGAUGGCUAGAGGUUGGGAGAGGGAUGCGGAAUUCCAGGUGUAGCGGUGAAAUGCGUAGAUAUCUGGAGGAACACCGGUGGCGAAGGCGGCAUCCUGGACCAAUUCUGACGCUGAGGAGCGAAAGCCAGGGGAGCAAACGGG
Molecule: ribosomal RNA, 253 nt
Filed under: uncultured bacterium
Lineage: Bacteria
Description: partial 16S ribosomal RNA
Rfam family: Bacterial small subunit ribosomal RNA
Source: RNAcentral